RNAcentral lists this unclassified non-coding RNA (215 nucleotides) under Hevea brasiliensis (rubber tree). The record is from RNAcentral. Lineage: Eukaryota; Viridiplantae; Streptophyta; Magnoliopsida; Malpighiales; Euphorbiaceae.
UUGGUCCAAGAAGCAUGCGUCAAAACCAUCUCAAUCGCCCUCUAAACUUUUCCUUAAUGAGUGUCACUUCCACUUUUAUAUGAAUGCCAUUAUUCCUUAUCUAGUCCAUCCUUGUUUAUUUGCACAUCCAUUUUUUAGAACCAUCAUUUCUGUCAAGCUAAUAUUUUGAAUGUGUUGUUUCUUCACUGUCCACUACUUGUUGCCGUAAAUAGUAA